RNAcentral lists this ribosomal RNA (331 nucleotides) under uncultured bacterium. RNAcentral describes it as "bacterial SSU rRNA". It matches the Rfam family "Bacterial small subunit ribosomal RNA", at positions 568 to 898 of the family's 1533-position model. The record is from RNAcentral.
CGUGUAGGCGGUAAUGUAAGUCAGACGUGAAAUCCUUUGGCUCAACCGAAGAACUGCGUCUGAAACUGCAUGACUAGAGUGCAGAAGAGGGAAACGGAAUUCCCGGUGUAGAGGUGAAAUUCGUAGAUAUCGGGAGGAACACCGGUGGCGAAGGCGGUUUCCUGGUCUGACACUGACGCUGAGGCGCGAAAGCGUGGGGAGCAAACAGGAUUAGAUACCCUGGUAGUCCACGCCGUAAACGGUGGGUACUGGGUGUGGGAGGUGUAAUGCCUUCUGUGCCGAAGCUAACGCGUUAAGUACCCCGCCUGGGGAGUACGGCCGCAAGGUUGAA